Long non-coding RNA from Mytilus trossulus (common blue mussel), 256 nucleotides. RefSeq lists it as uncharacterized. The record is from RefSeq and is a predicted model, not a curated record. Lineage: Eukaryota; Metazoa; Mollusca; Bivalvia; Mytilida; Mytilidae. The transcript has 4 exons.
GAAAGUGAAUGCGUAGAUAGUGACGAAUAUCGAGUAGAACCUACAUUGUAUGAGGAACUCCAAUCGCACUGUACGAAUUACGCGUACCAUGCACCAUCAGAUGAUGAUGAUGUUGAUUACUUCUCUAAGCGUGAUGGUUGUUAUAGCUAUUUCAGCUGUAAUAAGUGUCAUAAGCUGCAUACUUCUGGUGUUAGUUGUGAUUCUUGAACGAGGGAUGAUUUGAAAGAUAACGGAACGAGUUUUUUUAUUAUCAUAU